GAACCCGUGGCGCAGUGGUAGCGCGUGAGAUUCCAGUUUUAGGCGUCAGCCUAUGACACGUCCUCAAGGUCAUCCGUUCAAUCCGGGUCGGGUUCA
RNAcentral lists this transfer RNA (96 nucleotides) under Wolfiporia cocos MD-104 SS10. RNAcentral describes it as "tRNA-Trp". It matches the Rfam family "tRNA". From Rfam's summary of the family: Transfer RNA (tRNA) molecules are approximately 80 nucleotides in length. Their secondary structure includes four short double-helical elements and three loops (D, anti-codon, and T loops). The record is from RNAcentral. Lineage: Eukaryota; Fungi; Basidiomycota; Agaricomycetes; Polyporales; Phaeolaceae.